UACGUAGGGUGCAAGCGUUAUCCGGAAUUAUUGGGCGUAAAGAGCUCGUAGGUGGUUUGUCGCGUUGUUCGUGAAAACUCGCAGCUCAACUGUGGGCGUGCGGGCGAUACGGGCAGACUAGAGUACUGCAGGGGAGACUGGAAUUCCUGGUGUAGCGGUGGAAUGCGCAGAUAUCAGGAGGAACACCGGUGGCGAAGGCGGGUCUCUGGGCAGUAACUGACGCUGAGGAGCGAAAGCGUGGGGAGCGAACAGG
RNAcentral lists this ribosomal RNA (253 nucleotides) under uncultured bacterium. RNAcentral describes it as "partial 16S ribosomal RNA". It matches the Rfam family "Bacterial small subunit ribosomal RNA", at positions 524 to 776 of the family's 1533-position model. The record is from RNAcentral.